Molecule: ribosomal RNA, 239 nt
Filed under: uncultured bacterium
Lineage: Bacteria
Description: partial 16S ribosomal RNA
Rfam family: Bacterial small subunit ribosomal RNA
Source: RNAcentral
CCGGCGCACGGGUGAGUAACACGUACCCAACCUGCCGUCUACUCUUGGACAGCCUUCUGAAAGGAAGAUUAAUACAAGAUGGCAUCAUGAGUCCGCAUGUUCACAUGAUUAAAGGUGUUCCGGUAGACGAUGGGGAUGCGUUCCAUUAGAUAGUAGGCGGGGUAACGGCCCACCUAGUCUUCGAUGGAUAGGGGUUCUGAGAGGAAGGUCCCCCACAUUGGAACUGAGACACGGUCCAA